RNAcentral lists this ribosomal RNA (241 nucleotides) under uncultured Staphylococcus sp. RNAcentral's name for it is "partial 16S ribosomal RNA". It matches the Rfam family "Bacterial small subunit ribosomal RNA", at positions 99 to 334 of the family's 1533-position model. The record is from RNAcentral. Lineage: Bacteria; Bacillati; Bacillota; Bacilli; Caryophanales; Staphylococcaceae.
CGGACGGGUGAGUAACACGUUGAUAACCUACCUAUAAGACUGGGAUAACUUCGGGAAACCGGAGCUAAUACCGGAUAAUAUAUUGAACUGCAUGGUUCAAUAGUGAAAGACGGUUUUGCUGUCACUUAUAGAUGGAUCCGCGCCGCAUUAGCUAGUUGGUAAGGUAACGGCUUACCAAGGCAACGAUGCGUAGCCGACCUGAGAGGGUGAUCGGCCACACUGGAACUGAGACACGGUCCAG